GUUUUGGCUUCCUCCCUCUCUAACCUUUUUUUUUUUUUUUCUUUCCUUCCCCUCCCCCAUGAUCUUCUGUUAAGUUUCUCAGGAUCCACAUAAGAGUGAAAACAUAUGGUAUCUUUCUCUGUAUGACUUAUUUCACUUAACAUAACACUCUCCAGUUCCAUCCAUGUUGCUACAAAGGGCCAUAUUUCAUUCUUUCUCAUUGCCACAUAGUAUUCCAUUGUGUAUAUAAACCACAAUUUCUUUAUCCAUUCGUCAGUUGAUGGACAUUUAGGCUCUUUCCACAAUUUGGCUAUUGUUGAAAGUGCUGCUAUAAACAUUGGGGUACAAGUGCCCCUAGGCAUCAGCACUCCUGUAUCCCUUGGGUCAAUUCCUAGCAGUGCUAUUGCUGGGUCAUAGGGUAGAUCUAUUUUUAAUUUUUUGAGGAACCUCCACCCUGUUUUCCAGAGCGGCGGCACCAGUUUGCAUUCCCACCAACAGUGCAAGAGGGCUCCCGAUUCUCCACAUCCUCGCCAGCAUCUACAGUCUCCUGGUUUGUUCAUUUUAGCCACUCUGAUUGGUGUGAGAACUUUCAACUAGUAUGUAAAUAAGUUCUGGAGAGUAACACCCAGGAUAGGAUUACAGUUAACAAUACUGCAUUGUAAACUUCAAAGUUGCUACGAGACUAGAUCUUCAUUGUUGUCACCAUAAAAAAGAAAUGGUAAUUACGGGAUCCCGAUGGAGGUGUUAGCUAAGCUGAGAUGGUCUUUGCCCUGCAGUAAAUAAAUGUAUCAAACCAACAGGCAUACCUUAAACUUACACAAUGCUAUAUGUCAAUCACAGGUCGGUAAGAUAAAUACAUUAAAACAGAAAAGGGUCGCCUCUAACUGUGUUGGGUCAAGACAAAAACAAGCUCGCUUUGCAAUCUUGUCUAAACACAGCCGGAACAUAAGCGUUGUCCAAGCCACAAACAGGACCAAACGAUUCCUUUUCCUGGCUACCACGAGUGACUGCUUUUCUAUACCAAUCCCAGCUUCAGGCUUGGUUUGCUUUUGCCACCUUCUAGAGGAGACGAAUUACAAUAAUCAUAAAAUACUCCCACUUCCUGACGGUAUCCAAUCCAGAGCAAAGCCCGGCUUUGCUGAACUCUUCCCCAAAUCGCUUAACACGAGCCCAAGUCCCACUGUGCCCCGCUCCCAACACCCCUUUACCGAGCUACUUCAUGACUGCCCACGGGGUGUGCGCUCCCUUGUCGCACGGAGUCAGUAAGCCUACCCUUCUCCGCGGCAGGUGGCUUCGGGCGUCUUUGGUUCUUGUCGGGAUCAACGAGUUUUGAUCCACUGGAUCGAGUGUCCGCUGGAAUCGUGACUGCUGCGGUCUAGACGCUUGGGUCCAUUCCCUUCUCUUUCGGUAAUAGCACUCAAUACUUUCACGUGGGCGCCACAUCUCCUGCACUCUCGAGUCACGUGCUUUGGUUUCCAGCCCCAGGAGGAGACAUGUGACUGAGACCUGUCCAAUCAGCGAGUCCCAUCCCCUGGCUGCAGUGAUUGGUUCAGGGAGAGCAUGUGACGCCAGUUGGUCCAAUCAGAGCACAUCCUAGGAGUCGAGCGUGGGGGGCGGCCCGGAGGAGAGCCCCUCCAUCUUCCAGAAGACGCUGGCGGGCUGUUGUUGGCGCCUGCUGGGGGAGACACCGAACGCGGCCUGGGGAAUGGAAGGACACGGUGAGAAGAUGGCCAUCUGCAGACCAGGAAGAGCCAGCCCCUCACCAGACACCAGAUGUGCCGGCACCUUGACCUUGGACUUCAGCCUCCAGAACCUCCCUGCGCUGAGCCCUGGAGCUACGGAGAUGAUUAAGACGUGGUUUCCACCUUAAGGUGUGCAGCACAGUGCAGCGAUGGAGGGGACCACUCAGUGCAAUACGACCUCAGCUUCAGUCCCUCUUGCACUGAGUGGAUGUUGGAUCGAGCCCACAAGUCCCUUGCAAAUUUUAGAACUCUGGAUCUGACCACAGAAGCACGGGAGUCCUCUGGGCACCCAUCACUGAAGGCAGAAUGUUUUGACCAUGACCCCUGCGCCCAGCACUGUGGUUGAAUGUGACCCGUGUGAAUCCUUCAUCAGUUCAUGAAUCACUGCAUUUUACCUGCCAUACGACCCUCAUUUCUGCCAUCUUACAUGCCACUGCUCAGUGACCCAUGCCAGUCGGUAAGGAUCUGGUGAAAAUUAUUUACAAAAUGGGUGCUUUUGUAAAUUGCCAAUAGCUGUGAAAUUUGGUGCAAGCUUUUAGGGGGAAAAUAAAGUUGGAAAUGAAAUCAAGAA
This is a long non-coding RNA of Acinonyx jubatus (cheetah), 2292 nucleotides long. RefSeq lists it as uncharacterized. The record is from RefSeq and is a predicted model, not a curated record. The transcript has 4 exons. NCBI's taxonomy places the organism in Eukaryota, Metazoa, Chordata, Mammalia, Carnivora, Felidae.